RNAcentral lists this ribosomal RNA (786 nucleotides) under Pezicula eucrita. RNAcentral describes it as "eukaryotic LSU rRNA". It matches the Rfam family "Eukaryotic large subunit ribosomal RNA", at positions 104 to 908 of the family's 3401-position model. The record is from RNAcentral. Lineage: Eukaryota; Fungi; Ascomycota; Leotiomycetes; Helotiales; Dermateaceae.
CAGCUCAAAUUUGAAAUCUGGGUCUUUCAGGCUCCGAGUUGUAAUUUGUAGAAGAUGCUUUGGGUGCGGUCCCGGUCUAAGUUCCUUGGAACAGGACGUCAUAGAGGGUGAGAAUCCCGUAUGUGAUCGGUGGCUUGCGCCCGUGUAAAGCUCUUUCGACGAGUCGGGUUGUUUGGGAAUGCAGCUCUAAAUGGGUGGUAAAUUUCAUCUAAAGCUAAAUAUUGGCCAGAGACCGAUAGCGCACAAGUAGAGUGAUCGAAAGAUGAAAAGCACUUUGGAAAGAGAGUUAAACAGUACGUGAAAUUGUUGAAAGGGAAGCGCUUGCAACCAGACUUGCGCGGGGUUGAUCAUCCGGGGUUCUCCCCGGUGCACUCGGCCUCGCUCAGGCCAGCAUCGGUUUCGGUGGUUGGAUAAAGGCCUUGGGAAUGUGACUUCUUUCGGGGAGUGUUAUAGCCCUCGGUGCAAUGCAGCCUACCGGGACCGAGGACCGCGCUUCGGCUAGGAUGCUGGCGUAAUGGUUGUAAGCGACCCGUCUUGAAACACGGACCAAGGAGUCUAACAUCUAUGCGAGUGUUUGGGCGUCAAACCCAUACGCGUAAUGAAAGUGAACGGAGGUGAGAACCCUUAAGGGUGCAUCAUCGACCGAUCCUGAUGUCUUCGGAUGGAUUUGAGUAAGAGCAUAGCUGUUGGGACCCGAAAGAUGGUGAACUAUGCCUGAAUAGGGUGAAGCCAGAGGAAACUCUGGUGGAGGCUCGCAGCGGUUCUGACGUGCAAAUCGAUCGUCAA